RNAcentral lists this non-coding RNA (793 nucleotides) under Xiangelilacris zhongdianensis. RNAcentral's name for it is "12S ribosomal RNA". The stretch from base 342 to 786 matches the Rfam family "Microsporidia small subunit ribosomal RNA", at positions 752 to 1303 of the family's 1311-position model. The record is from RNAcentral. Lineage: Eukaryota; Metazoa; Arthropoda; Insecta; Orthoptera; Acrididae.
UUAAAGUUUUAUUCUUGCUUAAUUAUUUAUUUUUUCUUUAUAUUAUAUGUAAGUUUUGUUAAACUUAAUGUUCUUUUUGCAGUAAUUUAAUUUAAUUAUCAAUUAGUUUUGGAAUUAGAAAUUGAUUUAGUAUUGGCAUAAUUCGUGCCAGCAGCCGCGGUUAUUCGAUUAAUACAAAUAAAUAUUAUUGGUUAAAACAGUUAUUUAUAUUUUGGAUUUAAUUAUAAAUUUGAAGGGUGAAAUUUUAUUUUUUUUUAUAAUUCUUAUUAUGGAUCUGUGAAGUUUGAAUAAUAAACUAGGAUUAGAUACCCUAUUAUUUUAAAUGUUAAUUUUUCUUACCAGGGUAGUGUUAGGUAUGAUCUUUAAACCUAAAGAAUUUGGCGGUACCUUAUUCCAUUCAGAGGAACUUAUCCCGUAAUUGAUAAUACACGAUUAACUUUACUUGAUUUAUUUGUUUGUAUAUCUCCGUUAUCAGAAGAUCUUUUUAGAGUUAAAAUUUUCUUAAUUUAUUAUUUUAUAAUAUUUCAGGUCAAGGUGCAGCUUAUAAUUAAGAGGAGAUGAGUUACAAUAGAUUUUAUUUAUAAUGAAUUUAAUGGUGAAAACUAUUAAUGAAGGUGAAUUUGAUAGUAAUUUAAAUUAAUUAAUUUAUUUGAUAUUGGCUCUAAGGUGUGUACACAUCGCCCGUCACUCUCAUUAUUAAUAUUUAAUUUAGAAUUUUUAUUAUAAUAGGUUAUAAUUUAAAUGAGAUAAGUCGUAACAUAGUAGAUGUACUGGAAAGUGUAUCUAGUAAGGA